CUCGUACUGAGGAGUCCCACAAUAGGACGAAACGGCAGUCCAG
Molecule: non-coding RNA, 43 nt
Filed under: Schistosoma mansoni
Lineage: Eukaryota; Metazoa; Platyhelminthes; Trematoda; Strigeidida; Schistosomatidae
Source: RNAcentral